GGGGCUUUAACGGGACUCCGGGAUCGAGUGUUUUAACACGGGAUUUCGGGAUUUAUCCUUUCCGGAUGGCAGGAUUUUUAUUUGUAUAAAUUCGGGACCUCGGGAUUUCAUGUUUUAAAGUCCGGGAUUUCGAGAUCAGGACCUCUGCCACCCCUACCCCCCUUACAAAUGCAUAUCAUGAGAUGUCUUUUCCUUUUUAAUUUUCUUUUGGCCUUGUGUUGUUGUCUGGUUGCUGUCUUAUUGAAGUACUAACUACUUACGGGAUUUACAUUUUACUUUAAGUACUGAAAGUCUGUGACACUUUGCAUAUAUUUCAGUAGGUAUAUAUAGUAGUAGUAUGAUAUAGAGAUGAUCGAUAUAAUCUCAUUCUCAACCUUCAAGUUUUAUGAGUGAAAUAGAGAGAACAGUUCUAUUUUAUAUUUGAGAUGCUACUUUCAGCUAGGGUACAUUUU
Molecule: long non-coding RNA, 452 nt
Filed under: Mytilus galloprovincialis (Mediterranean mussel)
Lineage: Eukaryota; Metazoa; Mollusca; Bivalvia; Mytilida; Mytilidae
Source: RNAcentral